Long non-coding RNA from Capsicum annuum, 1050 nucleotides. RefSeq lists it as uncharacterized. NCBI's taxonomy places the organism in Eukaryota, Viridiplantae, Streptophyta, Magnoliopsida, Solanales, Solanaceae. The transcript has 4 exons. The record is from RefSeq and is a predicted model, not a curated record.
CUGUUAUAGCCCCCGUAGUAGCUAACAUAGCCUCCUUUAUAGAGAAUUUAUACUUAUCUCUAUUUUUUGUCUCUCCUCCUUGAUCGUACUUUCCACCAUCUCCUCUUCUUUUUCUCUACCUUCCCCUGUAUUUAUCCAUUCCACCACCAAUCUACGUCUUCCAGAAUAAACUGUUGUCAUACCAAACAACUCUCUGGUUAUUUCCCUAAUGCAAUUGGCUAUCUUUUCCCACAUACUAUCUAUAUCCCUACUACUCUCCCAUGACUCCAUGUCUAUGAACUUUUUCCCUAUCUCUAAGGCACUUGCCAUAGUCAAGUUACCACAUUUGAUACUAGGAUGAUCAUCAAAAAGCCUCUUCCUCCUCGUCUUCUUAAUAUCUAAAUCCAUCACCAAAAGCGCAUGUUGGGUUAAAAGAUUCUCACUUAGAAUAACCUUACAGUCUUUACAAAGAUAUUUAUCCUCUGUCCCAAGGGAAAAAAUUCUAUUUGUGUCUUGUCCACUGAACUAUGGAAGGUAACCAAAUGCUUCUACUUCUUGGGGAAGCUGGAGUUUUCUAUCCUCAAUUCGAAGGCUCUAGCAAAAUCCAAAGUUAUGGUGAUGGUACACUUGGGGUUAGUCUGAGUGAUAGUCAAGAAUGCACGAAUAUGAAGCUACUACUCAACCAAUAAUAAAAGGUUAUUCUUGAAAGAUCUGUCAUUUAUGGUUGGGGAGCUUUUCUUACAUUUUAUGGCCGAGGAGCUUUUAUAAAGAUAGGUCAUGAUGGUGUCUGGUGAUCACAAGUUGAUAUCUUUCAAUGAACGAAUUUUUGUGGGAGAAGAACUCUUUAUGGCUAUCAUUAUGAGCCAAACAGUGCACCCGCAUGGCAAGGAAGCCUAUGGCAUCCAGUACUAGGAAAUGGGAUGAUGCUCCUUCAAGUGGUCGUGCUAGGAAGCAUUCUUUAUUGAGCGCCCAUUUAACUAAUUUCUUGAUCUAUUAAUUAUUAUUCUUUUUAUUCCAUAACUCUUCUGUUGAUGACCAUCAAAUGAUACUUCUAAUCAAUUUAUUCCUGAA